Podarcis lilfordi (Lilford's wall lizard) is the source of this 111-nucleotide non-coding RNA. The record is from the annotation of a GenBank genome assembly. NCBI's taxonomy places the organism in Eukaryota, Metazoa, Chordata, Lepidosauria, Squamata, Lacertidae.
GAAGAUUUCUAUUCCCCUUACAAAGCUCCAAUUUCCAGAGUUUGUUGAGAAGAGGGAUUGACUGUUAAACUAUUCUGAAAAUUGUAGUUCUGUGAGGGGAAUAGGAGUCCC